CAUGAACGAAUGAUGAUUUAUUCCAAAAUUCUUAUUAAAGGAAGGAAUAAAUCUGAACUGUUCAUA
Plasmodium vinckei petteri is the source of this 66-nucleotide non-coding RNA. The record is from Rfam. Lineage: Eukaryota; Apicomplexa; Aconoidasida; Haemosporida; Plasmodiidae.